Molecule: ribosomal RNA, 1119 nt
Filed under: uncultured bacterium
Lineage: Bacteria
Description: bacterial SSU rRNA
Rfam family: Bacterial small subunit ribosomal RNA
Source: RNAcentral
GAGUUUGAUUCUGGCUCAGAACGAACGCUGGCGGCGUGGAUAAGACAUGCAAGUCGAACGGGAUCAUUGGUGUAGCAAUACAUCAAUGGUUCAGUGGCGUAAGGGUGCGUAACACGUGGGUAAUCUGCCGAGAAGUGGGGGAUAGCUCGCCGAAAGGCGAAUUAAUACCGCAUGUGACUAGUGAAGGAUUCUUCAUGAUGUCAAAGCCGGGGCAACCUGGCGCUUCUUGAUGAGCCCGCGGCCUAUCAGCUAGUUGGUGAGGUAACGGCUCACCAAGGCUAUGACGGGUAGCUGGUCUGAGAGGACGACCAGCCACACUGGAACUGAGACACGGUCCAGACACCUACGGGUGGCAGCAGUCGAGAAUUUUUCUCAAUGGGGGAAACCCUGAAGGAGCGACGCCGCGCGGAGGAUGAAGGUCUUCGGAUUGUAAACUCCUGUCAUUUGGGAACAAUGUGCAUUGGUUAACUGCCGGUGUAUUGAUAGUACCAGAAGAGGAAGAGACGGCUAACUCUGUGCCAGCAGCCGCGGUAAUACAGAGGUCUCAAGCGUUGUUCGGAUUCAUUGGGCGUAAAGGGUGCGUAGGUGGCGGGGCAAGUCUGGUGUGAAAUCUCGGGGCUCAACCCCGAAACUGCACUGGAUACUGCCUUGCUCGAGUACUGGAGAGGAGAUUGGAAUUUACGGUGUAGCAGUGAAAUGCGUAGAUAUCGUAAGGAAGACCAGUGGCGAAGGCGAAUCUCUGGACAGUUACUGACACUGAGGCACGAAGGCCAGGGGAGCAAACGGGAUUAGAUACCCCGGUAGUCCUGGCAGUAAACGGUGCGCGUUUGGUGUGGGAGGAUUCGACCCCUUCUGUGCCGGAGCUAACGCGUUAAACGCGCCGCCUGGGGAGUACGGUCGCAAGAUUAAAACUCAAAGAAAUUGACGGGGGCCCGCACAAGCGGUGGAGUAUGUGGCUUAAUUCGAUGCAACGCGAAGAACCUUACCUAGCCUUGACAUGCAUCUCUAAGUCGGUGAAAGCCGGCGACUGGAGCAAUCCAGAAUUUGCACAGGUGCUGCAUGGCUGUCGUCAGCUCGUGUCGUGAGAUGUUGGGUUAAGUCCCGCAACGAGCGCAACCC